CCUACGGGAGGCAGCAGUGAGGAAUAUUGGUCAAUGGACGGAAGUCUGAACCAGCCAUGCCGCGUGCAGGAAGAAGGCUCUGUGAGUUGUAAACUGCUUUUGUCCAAGGGUAAACCUGAAUACGUGUAUUCGGCUGAAAGUACUGUACGAAUAAGGAUCGGCUAACUCCGUGCCAGCAGCCGCGGUAAUACGGAGGAUCCAAGCGUUAUCCGGAUUUAUUGGGUUUAAAGGGUGCGUAGGCGGAUUGAUAAGUUAGAGGUGAAAUGUCCGAGCUUAACUCGGGAACUGCCUCUAAUACUGUUGAUCUAGAGAGUAGAUGCGGUAGGCGGAAUGUAUGGUGUAGCGGUGAAAUGCUUAGAGAUCAUACAGAACACCGAUUGCGAAGGCAGCUUACCAAUCUAUAUCUGACGUUGAGGCACGAAAGCGUGGGGAGCAAACAGGAUUAGAUACCCUAGUAGUC
Molecule: ribosomal RNA, 460 nt
Filed under: uncultured bacterium
Lineage: Bacteria
Description: partial 16S ribosomal RNA
Rfam family: Bacterial small subunit ribosomal RNA
Source: RNAcentral